UAAAACUCAUCAUUAAUUUGAACUUUGUGGUGUAGACUUACACAGCUGAAUUUACAGCGAAGAGUCUAGAGAUAAACCUUUUCAGUGUGUAGAAUAAAGCUUACUUUAUCGCUAAAUAUGGAAACGUCAAGUUUUAGUCCCACUACAGCGAGGGAACUAACAGUUUUUAUUCAAAAUACAUUCCAACAGCUACAGGACAAGUUAAACAAGACAGAGGACGCGAUAGUAACACGUUUCAAUACGACUGGUAAAAGAAUUGAUCAGAUCGAGAAAUCUCUAGUUGAACUUAUGGACCAUGCAGGCGUAAAUGAGCCAUAUGACGAUGAAGAGAGCGAAUCAGAACUUUCGGAGACGUACAAGGACGAAAAUGAAUGAAGAAUUUGAACGGAUGAAAGAACUAACUUGACGCGUGCUUUUACAAUGUUGCUAAGGGAGCCCUCAAGCGUCGGGUGGAAUCGUGGAAUCCAGCUGAGAUAACCUGUUACUCUUUAUUACUUUAAGCAUUUUGGGAAGUUUUAACUUUUAUAGCAGAAAUGGACAAUUCAUUGAAGAAUUCAAGGGAUUUAUCAACAGUGUGCUAACGUCUUCAGUUUCUCCGAGGACUUAUUCGGUUAUUCCUUGUAUUACGUAGUUUGUUCUGUAUUUAAGUCAGAUUAAAAGAUUUUUACUGUUUAGUUUGUAAUUUUGUAUUCUGGUUGUGUUGUUGGCGGAGUAAUAAAAUUUGUUUGUGG
Molecule: non-coding RNA, 731 nt
Organism: Paramuricea clavata
Lineage: Eukaryota; Metazoa; Cnidaria; Anthozoa; Malacalcyonacea; Plexauridae
Source: the annotation of a GenBank genome assembly